RNAcentral lists this ribosomal RNA (440 nucleotides) under uncultured bacterium. Its description in RNAcentral is "partial 16S ribosomal RNA". It matches the Rfam family "Bacterial small subunit ribosomal RNA", at positions 338 to 795 of the family's 1533-position model. The record is from RNAcentral.
CCUACGGGUGGCAGCAGUGGGGAAUAUUGCACAAUGGGGGAAACCCUGAUGCAGCGACGCCGCGUGAGUGAAGACGUAAUUCGUUAUGUAAAGCUCUAUCAGCAGGGAAGAAAAUGACGGUACCUGAGUAAGAAGCCGCGGCUAACUACUUGCCAGCAGCCGCGGGAACACGUAGGGGGCAAGCUUUAUCCGGAUUUACUGGGUGUAAAGGGAGCGUAGACGGCAGUGCAAGUCUGGAGUGAAAGGCGGGGGCUCAACCCCCGGACUGCUCUGGAAACUGUACGGCUGGAGUGCAGGAGAGGGAAGUGGAAUUCCCGGUGUAGCGGUGAAAUGCGUAGAUAUUAGGAGGAACACCAGUGGCGAAGGCGGGUUACUGGACUGUAACUGACGUUGAGGCUCGAAAGCGUGGGGAGCAAACGGGAUUAGAUACCCGGGUAGUC